UGGGGAAUAUUGGGCAAUGGGCGAAAGCCUGACUCAGCAACGCCGCGUGAAGGAAGAAGGCCUUCGGGUUGUAAACUUCUUUUAAGAGGGACGAAGAAGUGACGGUACCUCUUGAAUAAGCCACGGCUAACUACGUGCCAGCAGCCGCGGUAAUACGUAGGUGGCGAGCGUUAUCCGGAUUUAUUGGGUUUAAAGGGUGCGCAGGCGGCGCGCCAAGUCAGCGGUCAAAGUUCCGGGCUCAACCCGGUGUCGCCGUUGAAACUGGCGUGCUCGAGUGCGUGCGAGGAAGGCGGAAUGCGUUGUGUAGCGGUGAAAUGCAUAGAUAUGACGCAGAACUCCGAUUGCGAAGGCAGCUUUCCAGCGCGCUACUGACGCUGAGGCACGAAAGCGUGGGGAUCGAACAGGAUUAGAUACCCUGGUAGU
RNAcentral lists this ribosomal RNA (423 nucleotides) under uncultured Pseudoflavonifractor sp. RNAcentral describes it as "bacterial SSU rRNA". It matches the Rfam family "Bacterial small subunit ribosomal RNA", at positions 355 to 794 of the family's 1533-position model. The record is from RNAcentral. Lineage: Bacteria; Bacillati; Bacillota; Clostridia; Eubacteriales; Oscillospiraceae.